This 253-nucleotide ribosomal RNA is filed under the name uncultured bacterium. Its description in RNAcentral is "partial 16S ribosomal RNA". It matches the Rfam family "Bacterial small subunit ribosomal RNA", at positions 524 to 776 of the family's 1533-position model. The record is from RNAcentral.
GACGAACCGUGCGAACGUUGUUCGGAUUCACUGGGCUUAAAGGGCGCGUAGGCGGGCUUGUAAGUCAGGGGUGAAAUCCUCCGGCUCAACCGGAGAACAGCCUUUGAUACUGCAAGUCUCGAGGGAGAUAGGGGUCUGUGGAACUUCCGGUGGAGCGGUGAAAUGCGUAGAUAUCGGAAGGAACGCCGGUGGCGAAAGCGACGGACUGGAUCUCAUCUGACGCUGAGGCGCGAAAGCUAGGGUAGCGAACGGG